Molecule: ribosomal RNA, 444 nt
Filed under: uncultured bacterium
Lineage: Bacteria
Description: bacterial SSU rRNA
Rfam family: Bacterial small subunit ribosomal RNA
Source: RNAcentral
ACUCCUACGGGAGGCAGCAGUAGGAAUCUUCCCGCAAUGGGCGAAAGCCUGACGGAGCGACGCCGCGUGAGCGAAGAAGGCCUUCGGGUCGUAAAGCUCUGUUGUGAGGGACGAAGGAGCGCCGUUUGAAGAAGGCGGCGCGGUGACGGUACCUCACGAGAAAGCCCCGGCUAACUACGUGCCAGCAGCCGCGGUAAUACGUAGGGGGCGAGCGUUGUCCGGAAUUAUUGGGCGUAAAGCGCGCGCAGGCGGUCUCUUAAGUCUGAUGUGAAAGCCCACGGCUCAACCGUGGAGGGUCAUUGGAAACUGGGGGACUUGAGGGCAGGANAGGAGAGCGGAAUUCCGACGUGUAGCGGUGAAAUGCGUAGAGAUGUGGAGGAACACCAGUGGCGAAGGCGGCUCUCUGGCCUGCACCUGACGCUGAGGCGCGAAAGCGUGGGGAGC